This 301-nucleotide ribosomal RNA is filed under the name uncultured bacterium. RNAcentral's name for it is "partial 16S ribosomal RNA". It matches the Rfam family "Bacterial small subunit ribosomal RNA", at positions 509 to 807 of the family's 1533-position model. The record is from RNAcentral.
CAGUCGCCACGGUAAUACGGAGGGGGCUAGCGUUGUUCGGAAUUACUGGGCGUAAAGCGCACGUAGGCGGCUUUGUAAGUUAGAGGUGAAAGCCUGGAGCUCAACUCCAGAAUUGCCUUUAAGACUGCAUCGCUUGAACGUCGGAGAGGUGAGUGGAAUUCCGAGUGUAGAGGUGAAAUUCGUAGAUAUUCGGAAGAACACCAGUGGCGAAGGCGGCUCACUGGACGACUGUUGACGCUGAGGUGCGAAAGCGUGGGGAGCAAACAGGAUUAGAUACCCCCGUAGUCCCUGUCUCUUAUAC